GGAUAAGGAUGGGCAUGCGGAACAUUAGCUAGUUGGUAAGGUAACGGCUUACCAAGGCUACGAUGUUUAGGGGAUCUGAGAGGAUGACCCCCCACAGUGGUACUGAGACAGGGACCAGACUCAUACGGGAGGCAGCAGUAAGGAAUAUCGGUCAAUGGGCGGAAGCCUGAAACCAGCCAUGCCGGUGCAGGAAGACGGCCCUACGGGUUGUAAAACUGCUUUUGCAGGGGAAUAAACCCCGUUACGUGUAACGGGUUUGAAUGUACUCUGAGAAUAAGGAUCGGCUAACUCCGUGCCAGCAGCCGGGGUAAUACGGAGGAUCCGAGCGUAAUCCGGAUUUCAUGGGGUUAAAGGGUGCGUAGGCGGGU
Molecule: ribosomal RNA, 368 nt
Filed under: uncultured bacterium
Lineage: Bacteria
Description: bacterial SSU rRNA
Rfam family: Bacterial small subunit ribosomal RNA
Source: RNAcentral